RNAcentral lists this long non-coding RNA (1227 nucleotides) under Zea mays. RNAcentral describes it as "long non-coding RNA (ZMAY_LNC003635)". Lineage: Eukaryota; Viridiplantae; Streptophyta; Magnoliopsida; Poales; Poaceae. The record is from RNAcentral.
GUACCUGGAUUCUCAAGGCCCAGGCAAGUUGUGCCCUUGAUCACUUCUUUUUACCUACUCAUGUUCUAAUUAAUCAUAAUGAUCUGCAUAGGUUAAUUUUGAUGGGACCCAAUAGGUUACCCUAGUUUGUCUAUCUUUAUACCUUGUUUACCACUGAACUUUCUGGGUAGUACUUGCUAGUGCUAUAUGUGGUUUUGGGUAUGGAGAUACACUAUCCAUGGUUACAUUUUUGUUAUCAGUUGUUAUUUAUUGUUCAUGUUGAGAUCAUUAUGUUAAUUGGAACAUGGAGAACCACCCGGGAAAACAGUGCUACCACAGGGGUUUAAUGGGACGCCCUUGGCUGAUUAAUUAGGAAAGCUAGUGGAAGACUACCUUACCCGAAAGGGGCAAGGGCAGUAGGGGAGAGGUCAGUGCGGGGAGGCCCUCGGGAGGAUUUUGCUGCGAUGGCGGUCCUGCAAGGGAUUCCUGUACUGGAUCUUCCUAUAAACUGUAGCGGGUUUUCGGAAGCUAGUGGAACUUUGUAAAGGCCUCGUAGUGGAUCCCUAGCCAUUCACCUCGGAAGUGUCUAAGGGCCUUGCAAACCCUGGCGACAUGGGAUACACGACUUGUGGGUAAAGAUGCGCAACCUCUGCAGAGUGUAAAACUGGUAUACUAGCCGUGCUCACGGUCAUGAGCGGCUCGGACACUCACAUGAUUAAGUUAUGGAACUAAACUCAAUUUGUCAUAUGCAUUGCAUUGCAGGUGAUGUGGUUACUUUUGUUCUACUAUUUAAUUGGGUUGGUAUUUACUUAUACUUAGUAACUGCUAAUAAAAUUUUGACCAACUUUAAAAGCAAUGCUCAGCUCUAACCAUCUUCUUUGGUAAGCCUUACACUUCACGUGAGCUCCCACCUUUGGCGGGUUCAUACACAUUAUUCCCCACAACUUGUUGAGCGAUGAACGUAUGUGAGCUCACUCUUGCUGUCUCACAUACACCACAGGUCAAGACCAGGUACUGCAGGAUGAUGCUCAUGGAGGAUGCUGUGAUGAGUUCGUGAGAGGUCUAGGUCGUCGUCUCCCAGUCAACUUUGGGGUUGCUGGACCGUUGUCUCCUUAUAAUGUAAUUAUUUAUUUUGUAUAGAACUCCUGUUGUAUAUAAAGAUGUGACAUUCGAUCCUGUGCCACUAUACAUCAUAUGUAUGAGACUUGGUCCCAGCAUACCUGGUGUUUAUGUUAACCCCGGGUUUUG